UUUGAGAAUGUGUUCUUAGGCUUCGU
Molecule: non-coding RNA, 26 nt
Filed under: Rattus norvegicus (Norway rat)
Lineage: Eukaryota; Metazoa; Chordata; Mammalia; Rodentia; Muridae
Source: RNAcentral